RNAcentral lists this transfer RNA (64 nucleotides) under Cricetulus griseus (Chinese hamster). It matches the Rfam family "tRNA", at positions 5 to 66 of the family's 71-position model. From Rfam's summary of the family: Transfer RNA (tRNA) molecules are approximately 80 nucleotides in length. Their secondary structure includes four short double-helical elements and three loops (D, anti-codon, and T loops). The record is from Rfam by way of RNAcentral. Lineage: Eukaryota; Metazoa; Chordata; Mammalia; Rodentia; Cricetidae.
AUGUAGUUCAGUGGUUAAGAGCACUUAUUGCUCUUCCAGAGAACCUGGGUUCGAUUCCCAGCAU